GCGCACAGCCGCGGUAAUACGUAGGGUGCAGCGUUAUCCGGAAUUAUUGGGCGUAAAGGGCUCGUAGGCGGUUCGUCGCGUCCGGUGUGAAAGUCCAUCGCUUAACGGUGGAUCCGCGCCGGGUACGGGCGGGCUUGAGUGCGGUAGGGGAGACUGGAAUUCCCGGUGUAACGGUGGAAUGUGUAGAUAUCGGGAAGAACACCAAUGGCGAAGGCAGGUCUCUGGGCCGUUACUGACGCUGAGGAGCGAAAGCGUGGGGAGCGAACAGGAUUAGAUACCCUGGUAGUCCACGCCGUAAACGGUGGAUGCUGGAUGUGGGGCCCGUUCCACGGGUUCCGUGUCGGAGCUAACGCGUUAAGCAUCCCGCCUGGGGAGUACGGCCGCAAGGCUAAAACUCAAAGAAAUUGACGGGGGCCCGCACAAGCGGCGGAGCAUGCGGAUUAAUUCGAUGCAACGCGAAGAACCUUACCUGGGCUUGACAUGUUCCCGACGGUCGUAGAGAUACGGCUUCCCUUCGGGGCGGGUUCACAGGUGGUGCAUGGUCGUCGUCAGCUCGUGUCGUGAGAUGUUGGGUUAAGUCCCGCAACGAGCGCAACCCUCGCCCCGUGUUGCCAGCGGAUUAUGCCGGGAACUCACGGGGGACCGCCGGGGUUAACUCGGAGGAAGGUGGGGAUGACGUCAGAUCAUCAUGCCCCUUACGUCCAGGGCUUCACGCAUGCUACAAUGGCCGGUACAACGGGAUGCGACGCGGCGACGCGGAGCGGAUCCCUGAAAACCGGUCACAGUUCGGAUCGCAGUCUGCAACUCGACUGCGUGAAGGCGGAGUCGCUAGUAAUCGCGAAUCAGCAACGUCGCGGUGAAUGCGUACCCGGACCUGAA
Molecule: ribosomal RNA, 879 nt
Filed under: Bifidobacterium longum
Lineage: Bacteria; Bacillati; Actinomycetota; Actinomycetes; Bifidobacteriales; Bifidobacteriaceae
Description: bacterial SSU rRNA
Rfam family: Bacterial small subunit ribosomal RNA
Source: RNAcentral